GUAGGUGAACCUGCGGAGGGAUCAUUACAGAGACUCUGCCCUUUGGGUAGACCUCCCACCCUGUGUCGUUAUACCUUCGUUGCUUUGGCGGGCCGCGGGGCCCCGGCCCCGCCCCUGGCUCCGGCUAGGGCGCGCCCGCCAGAGGACCUCAAAACCUGAAUGUUAGUGUCGUCUGAGUACUAUAUAAUAGUUAAAACUUUCAACAACGGAUCUCUUGGUUCUG
This 223-nucleotide unclassified non-coding RNA is filed under the name rhizosphere metagenome. Its description in RNAcentral is "partial ribosomal RNA internal transcribed spacer region". The record is from RNAcentral.